AUUUGGCUAAACUUCCCGGCAGUAAUGCUUGGGCCAGUAGAAUUUCUGGAAUUCUCUGGUGGCCAGUAGAAUCUCCUUCCUGGAAUUCUCUGGUGGUUAUUUUCUUUUUCCAUUGUUAUUGUUUCCUUGUUAAUUAUAUUGUGUGGUUGAAAUAGCUAUUGUAAGUUGGAAAAGGCAUAAGAACACUGCUGUAAUCUCUUCUCCAACAAUUUAUCAAUACAAAUUACCAUUUUCUUCAUAUUACAAUUGCUUUAAG
RNAcentral lists this unclassified non-coding RNA (256 nucleotides) under Hevea brasiliensis (rubber tree). Lineage: Eukaryota; Viridiplantae; Streptophyta; Magnoliopsida; Malpighiales; Euphorbiaceae. The record is from RNAcentral.